RNAcentral lists this unclassified non-coding RNA (438 nucleotides) under Anabaenopsis ballygungii RPAN35. Its description in RNAcentral is "Anabaena ballyganglii RPAN35 partial 16S-23S ribosomal RNA intergenic spacer". The stretch from base 157 to 229 matches the Rfam family "tRNA". The record is from RNAcentral. Lineage: Bacteria; Bacillati; Cyanobacteriota; Cyanophyceae; Nostocales; Nodulariaceae.
UAUUAGCUCAGGUGGUUAGAGCGCACCCCUGAUAAGGGUGAGGUCCCUGGUUCGAGUCCAGGAUGGCCCACCUGAAGAAUUUUAGAUUUUAAAUUUUGGAUUUUAGAUUGUAUUUUUAAAUCUAAAAUCGCAAAUCCAAAAUCCAAAAUUCAUGAUGGGGGUUUAGCUCAGUUGGUAGAGCGCCUGCUUUGCAAGCAGGAUGUCAGCGGUUCGAGUCCGCUAACCUCCACCUGAAGCGGUAAGCGAACAAACAAAAGGAAAAAGUCAGCAACUAAUAGAGUAAGACUCGUUAGACUGCUGGGUAAUACCUAGCCAGAACCUUGAAAACUGCAUAGAAACGCGAUUAGAUAGCAGGCAGACACAGACAUGUAAUAGAUGGAAGUGUUUGCAGUGGUGAACACCAAUGUGAUAGUGGUCAAGCUAAUAAGAGCUAAUGGU